RNAcentral lists this ribosomal RNA (245 nucleotides) under uncultured bacterium. Its description in RNAcentral is "partial 16S ribosomal RNA". It matches the Rfam family "Bacterial small subunit ribosomal RNA", at positions 30 to 266 of the family's 1533-position model. The record is from RNAcentral.
AUUGAACGCUAGCGGGAUGCCUUACACAUGCAAGUCGAACGGCAGCGGGAAGUAGCUUGCUACUUUGCCGGCGAGUGGCGAACGGGUGAGUAAUGUAUCGGAACGUGCCCAGUAGCGGGGGAUAACUACGCGAAAGCGUGGCUAAUACCGCAUACGCCUACGGGGAAAGGGGGGUACGGUCUUCGGUAGCCUCUCACUAUUGGAGCGGCCGAUAUCGGAUUAGCUAGUUGGUGGGGUAAAGGCCU